This is a non-coding RNA of Caretta caretta (loggerhead turtle), 6739 nucleotides long. The record is from RefSeq and is a predicted model, not a curated record. Lineage: Eukaryota; Metazoa; Chordata; Testudines; Cheloniidae.
CGGUUGAUCUGUUUAAUUCAUUUGAUACAUUUAGAGCUAAUUAUAUUUAUUUUAUUUUUUUUUUGUCGUAAAAACUGAAAGCAAAAUGGGAAGGAGGAGUGAAAGCCGCGGUGGAUGUGCUUGGUUUAAACCUCGACAGCGCCACCUUUCGGCAAAGGUCGGUUUAAUCUUGAUCCAUGGCCAGUUUUGUUGAUCAACCCGCUUUCUUGUCGUUGUUGUAUUCAUGCUGCUGACUACACCAUUCUUGCACCUUGGAAGAUCAUUUAAAGCUGGAUAAAACAAAUAAGAUUUGUUUUCUUUUCCCAUAAAGUUUCUUAUUUGGCCAAUCUGUGUAGGCCCUUCAUUCACAAGCUCUGUUUAUUUUUCUUUAAAAUUUUCAUUGCGAAAUAAAAAACAGCUUGUAAAGUCAGGCUAAAAAUACAUUUUCAUUUAUUUUGUGUAGUGCUAUUCCUUUCCCCCCUUAUCUCCCAUCCUAGAUAGUCAUAUUCCUUGAGCACUAGAAAUUAUGAGGUAUUAACAGAUGCUUCUCGUUUAUUCUGCCAACGUGCAUAACACUCUCUAGGCAAAGAGCUGGAGCACCAAUGCUGUACCUGACCAUGUAAGUAUGUGCCAUGUAUUGGGAGCCAGAAUUGUUUAUGUGAUUUAAAACAAUCUCUCGUACCAAUCAGUACUUUUUCAGCAUGCUUACAAUGUUCCUGGUUCUGUAUUAGAAAUAUUCCUAGAUUACUGAUAAAACUAAAGAAUUUCAUGGGAUAUGGGAAUAAUUUCUCUUAUCUAAAGGGAAGGAAAACACAAACAUGCAGUUGAAACUACAUGAGAUUGCAAGGGGUAGCUGUCUGUACAUGUUUUAUGUUGAUUGUUCAUAGCUUGCUCAUUUUAUGUACACUUUUGUCUCAGUUUAAAAAUCAAUAUAGAUAUUUAUGAUGGAAAUAUCCAUCUAAAAGAAAUAAAUACUUGAAACAAAGAUUUUUAGCCAGCUGUGUAGAGGAAUUUAUCAUUUAUAACUUGAACCAUUAAGUGAAGCUAUAUGGUAUUUACACUGAAAUCAACGGAAAGUGAUAAAUACAAAAUCCAGUGAAAACUCAUGCACAAAGUUCAUUUCAAAAUUCUACAGAGACAAAGAUAAUAUCAGUUCAAAGGUGGGAAAUGAAGGACUUGUGUCUGGCAAAGGAUAUUUGAAAUGUCUCAACAAUCUAAUAAAUGUGUACACUGUAUUUAUAUAUAUAGUCAAGAAGUCAGUCAUUUGCUACCUCCUUUGUACUGUAUUAAGAUGUUUCAACCCACAUUAGGUAGCAUUGACAAAAGCUUGCAAUACUGACAUGAAAAGAGUGAGUUUUAUUGGACAUUUCUUUCAGGAAUUCAGGUGUCACUAAUAGGGGGGGAAAACAUAAUUGGGGUGGUGGAGUUUCUUAGCUGUUAAGGGAUUACCUGUUCUCUUUUAUUAAAAGAUCUGAACUUGAGUGAAUUUUAAACAAAUCUCUGUUUUAAUGUCUUGAAAUUAGAAAUGGAACAGCCUGAUUAAUUAUUUGUGAUACACUGUCUUGUGUGGGACCUGCUGAGCAGCCUUCGUUUGGCUUAUUCAGCAUAAAUAAUAAAGUACAAUAAUUGCUCAUAGUAAAUAAUGUAAAUUUCAUAGUAAAUUUCAAAUAACUUACAAAAUGCAUAGCUCCACUUAUGUGUCAUGAAGGCUCAUUACAAUACAAAGUGGCUGGUUUGCCAUUGCCUGUCCAGCUGUUUAUACCAGGGCAAAAGUGUGAGGGCAUGUGUAAAUUUUACACCCACUCUGCACUCUUAUUGCCCUUGUGUAUCAAUGACUGCACAAGGUGCAGGGAGCAGAGAGCAGGUCUAAAGUGCUUUAUGGCACACUGCACAAGAGUGAAUGGUACUAAAAUAGUGACAGACCCUGGUCUAGUGAUGAAAGCUGAAGAUUAGAAGUCAAGUUCCUUGGGUUCUAUCCCUUGCCAUUGACUUAGGGUAAGACAUUCACAACUUCUGCUUAUCCGUCUAUAAAAUGGGUAUAAUACUUACCUAAAUUGCCACAGUGCUGGGAGGUUUAACGUUAGCUUAAAAUCUUAUGAGACACCCCACCCGCUCAGAUGGAAGGUGGGGCACAUACGAACAAGGUUUUAUAUCAGAGUUUAGAUUGACCAGCAUGUACAAAAAAUACAUACGGAUUUUACAUUACCUCCAAUCCUUAAUUAUCCCUAUGGGUGUGGCAUGUAUCUUCUGAGCAUGUUUUGGGCAUUAGGAGGUAUAACUGAUACUGGGCAGUUUUAGGACUAACAACUCUGCCCACUGAACUGAAUGGAGUUGAGGGUUAAUGAUGUGAAGCCUGAUUUCAGUAUGUAAAGUGCCCUUGUUGGAAUGGUCUUCUUGACUGUGAAGACACAACAGCGUCGGUCCGAGAAUCUGGCAGCUGUACUGUUUUCACAACAUAUGGAAACUGUACUUCUAAUAAUUCAGUUACAUUUCAUUUGGUUUGAUAUUUUAACCUGAUUUUGGAGGGGGGGAGCUAUUAUUCCAUAGAGAUUAAAAUAACCUGUAAUGUGCUGUAUUGCUUUUUAAGGUCUUGAUGCAAAGAAGCAUGUGAAUAUAUGUUAGGUGAUCUGAUUUCCUUUGGUGUCAUUAUUUAAUGUCUUUAGCAACAAUGAAAAGGAAACCCAAGAUCAGUUUUUCCCUGCCCUCCCUCUUAUGAAUUAGCUUGCUGUCAUAGGAGUUCUAGACAAGAUUCAGUUCAGAUUCGCUUCCAUCUGGAACCCAUGGCUGUGCAAUAACUUUAAUCCUUAACAAAAAGGAAAUGAUAGAAAAACCCAUGAAAUUAAUUUUCACACCUGCAGUUGGAAUUAAUAGUGGCAACCAGAGUGGCAUCCUAUUUCAGUUCCCUGGAGGUGACUAACAAUCCUGGUCAUUAAUAAAAUACCAACCAACAUAGGAAUUUACCAUCUGAGGGUUCUGCCAUGAAAAACAAAUGAUCCCAAGGUACUCCUGCACAAUAGAAAAUGGCUUUAGUCAUGUAUUAGUCAUUUUAUCACAAGACUGUAUUUUUGCACUAGGGGUUUGUUCUCGGAUGUUAGAAGAGAAUAGAUUGGAACAACAGUAUUUGUCUUGGUAAUUUGUAGGUAGGUUUUGAUUAUGUUUAAGCUUUCUAACAUAAGAAGGUUGGUGGAUGAUUAAGUGCAAGAAACCAAAUUCUGCAAGUGUGUUUUAUUUUUGGUGUGGCUCUGUGGUAUUUUAUUUCUGUCCAGGCCUAGUCAGUCUCUGCAUGCAUGCGACAUGAGCAUUAAAGGGUGGCACUUCCACUUUGGCUAGAUAAGAGAGGAGGAGGUCUGCAAACUAAAAUGCUGUUAGAAAUUUUAUGCAUUUCUGCUUUUCUCUCCUAAUUGCAAGGGAUGAGAUGCAUUGAGUGUCUGCUUCAUGGCUGGGAAUCACCGUCCUGCCACUCUGCAAGUUUCCAGCCUAUCAAAGAUGACAUGGAGCUAGCAAACUGUAAAGCUAAGCGCCUGCACUGUGGCUCUGAACUGCAUUCAGAAGGCAUUUGCUUCCAUUCUUGGAGCAGUAAUAGCACUUCAAGAGGUCACAGAGUACAUAGGCACUUUAAUCAUUUUGCAGAACCACCUUUAGAACAGAUAACUGCACAAGCCGUUGGACUGCCCAGCCAAUUGGCCUCAACCCUGUUCGGUGGGUUCUGUUCCCGAGGCAGAACGUUGAUUUGGCCUCCAUGCCCAUUUAAUCCUCCACAGCUCUGUUGUGAUGGCAACACAGGUAGCACGGUGAAUUCAUUUUUCCCCUACUGUUACUCACACCUUCUUGUCAACUGUUUGAAAUGGGCCAUCCUGAUUAUCACUACAAAUGUUUUUUUUUCUCCUGCUGAUAAUAGCCCACCUUAAUUGAUUGGUCUUGUUACAGUUGGUAUGGCAACACCCAUUUUUUCAUGUUCUCUGUGUAUAUGUAUCUUCCUACUGUAUUUUCCACUACAUGCAUCCAAUGAAGUGGGUUUUAGCCCACGAAAGCUUAUGCCUAAAUACAUUUGUUAGUCUCUAAGGUGCCACAAGGACUCCUCGGUUUUUUUGCUGUCCAACAUGGUUUCAUUCUAGGCAGCCAUCAGGGGAUGGCAACUCCUUGUCAUUACCAUCGUGGGUUAGAUUUGUACCAGUUGCUGUAGGAAGUAAAAAAGUUCGCUGUCUUGUCAGCAGUCCCCCUGAACUGAUGAACUUCCCCCGUUUCAUACCACAUAAAUCCUUCUUACAGGAGCACAAUGAUUAACCUUCAAAACCCUCCUCCCCUUGAAAGUUAGCUUUGGCUUGAAGCUUGGCUCAAAAAAUCAUAGCCUAGGAAGGAUUAUUUUUACCGCCUAAUUUUGAGGGGAGGGUCGGGAGAAUUAAUUGGUUUGUUAUAAGGCCUGAAUCUCAGCCCCACUGAACUCAGGGGCAGAACUCCCACUGAUUCCAGUGAGAGAAGGAUUUAGGGCCUGAGCUCCCAGGAAUCGCACCAUUUCGGAGGCUUCUGUUUUUUACACUCUUUAUGUCUAAUGCAAAAAUAAUUUUUUAAUCCCAAAAUUUGAAGGUCUCUAGUUCCUCACUUAGAAAAGCGCCUUUUGAAGUGAAAGGAAAGAAGAGGGGAAGAGGGAGGCUGAUUUUGAAGAAGCAAUACAUUGUUUCAGGGCUUGUGUGUUCCUUUAUUCUGCAGAGGAGUCCAGUCCGUAGGCUCAGUGCACAUUCCUGGGAGCCUGACUGCCAGCGAAGGUCUGCCAGGCCAAACCCCCCCCCCAAAAAAUAACCACAACCCACUUUUUGAAAAGUGCCCAGAGCUUGUAUUUACCAUCACACCCUAAUAGGAAAUAAUCCAUGUUUUCAAAUGAGCCUGCAUGCCCAAAUAUUUAUUUGCCAGUUAGAGCGUAAUGGCUCCCAAGCAGCUGUUCCGGAGUCUUUUGGGUACAACGUGUAAGUUAAGUUCUAUGUAGUUUGCAAUGUGUGUACACCAGAUGAAGUAUUUACCUGGAUAAUUUAAAUAAUAGGCCCUUGUAAAAGCCUGUUUGCAUACUUAAGCGGUCCUACAUGAGGGCUGGAUUCACUCCCUCCCCAAGACCCUCCAUGCAUGGAAUGGGGGUGCAGUGCAGUGGUUUUUCCAGAUAGUUCUCUGAGAAUAGAGGGAGGCGGGUAGGCCCAAGUCAAUAUUAUACUUCCAUGUCUCCCCUACAUCCAUAGCAGGGAGUCCCCCUGCUAAGAGGGUGGGUCUCAGGGUCAGCCAAGAAUCAGGAGGGGUGAGGUCACAAAGCUGACACGUAGAUACACGACGGCCGUGCAGAGGGCCCUGGUCUCUUGUGGAUACAGGAGAAUCUGCAGGGAUCCUGAGCUGGCCUCUGGCCCAUUCCCCAGUAGGGCAAAUCCAAUUCAGGAGGAAAUUCUCUGACAUUCCCUCAUACCCCCAUAGGUUGCCCUGCAGGAAAGAGCAAUGGUAUUCUGUGUGUUUCCCUAAGGAGAGUGGAACAGCUUUGAGAAAGUCUGACAGCUGUCCAUGGAAAUAUUUUUCUUUUAGUGUUCCUUUUUUUCCUUUUUAAAUGCAACCAAAUAGCACCAAGGGCCACGUAUGGUAUUGCACUUAGUCUGCAUGCACAUGUCCUGACACCGGACUGCAGUUUGUAAGGGACAUCAACAAAAUCUGUAAAGCUCACAGCCAGGGCUGGUAUUUCCUCUUUCACUCAUAUCGUCAGGCCUUUUUCUCACAAUGGCUGGAGUCAAGGACGUGGUGUCUGUCUUAUCUUUGAAUUUCCUGGUUUUUGUCAGUGAGAGUGUCACAAUGGCAAUGUUAUUAGCUCAGCUGUGUGGAUAGCAACACAAAGAUUUUGCUAGUGCUCUCUGAGGCUUAUUAGAAAAGGCUGCUUAUACAAUGUGAUGUGAUUGCUUGUACACCUUUCCCUGUGUUCUUCCUUCCCCUUUGAUGAUGUUAUAAUGAAGCUGCUUUCAUAGGAUCAGGGAUCACGAUAGACUCUUAAAGUGAAGACAUUUGCUUCGCCCUCCCUCCGCCCUGGUGACAGUUUUACUAUAUAAGCAGGGCUUUGCUGGCAGUGGAAUUGCAAUUUGCACACGGUAAGUGUAAUCAAAACAAAUUUCAUUCUGACUCAUUACAGAUGGAGUUUUACUGCAUAGGAAUUCACUGUUGGCCAGUUGCAUUCUAUAGCUCAGAUCAAAAACUGUGUCCUGUCUGUAAUCAGAGAGUGCUGUAAAUUGAGCGUCCCAUACUAUACAAGCUGAGCUGCAGAGAGAUAAUGCAAGUUCAAUAGCUUCUUAGACAGAUCGAGCUCUUGAUAACUGUGAAUUGUCUGCUUCAGAGCGUUCCAGUGUUGCCAAUAGGGAAUCAUCCACCCUUUCUCACUCUGUGAAGCUGACUCUGCUGCUGUAAUGAUAGAAGCUGUGGCCUGGAAAAGCUCCACACUGAUUCACAGAGGAAUCAAGGCUGUCAGGCUGGGUGGUUGAGGCUUAGAGAGGCUGUUCCUACAAUAUGGAGAACCUUCUUCCAGAAGGUGCCUCCAACCAACAGCUUGAAGACUUAAAGGAAAUUUGACACUUCUAGAUGGUGUGACCCAGCAAGGGGAAGAAAUGGAAGCUGUGGGGAAGCAUGAAAUUGACUUCUCCAAAGACUUACCACAAGGAGCAAAGAAAGAGUUUCUACCACAUGAGAGUCUGACAAGAAAAGCCAUUUGCCACUGAAAUCUUAAAAAAAUGUAUUUAACAAUUAUGAA